GACGAACGCUGGCGGCGUGCUUAACACAUGCAAGUCGAACGGAAAGGCCCUGCUUUUGUGGGGUGCUCGAGUGGCGAACGGGUGUGUAACACGUGAGUAACCUGCCCUUGACUUUGGGAUAACUUCAGGAAACUGGGGCUAACACCGGAUAGGAGCUCCUGCUGCAUGGUGGGGGUUGGAAAGUUUCGGCGGUUGGGGAUGGACUCGCGGCUUAUCAGCUUGUUGGUGGGGUAGUGGCUUACCAAGGCUUUGACGGGUAGCCGGCCUGAGAGGGUGACCGGCCACAUUGGGACUGAGAUACGGCCCAGACUCCUACGGGAGGCAGCAGUGGGGAAUAUUGCACAAUGGGCGGAAGCCUGAUGCAGCAACGCCGCGUGCGGGAUGACGGCCUUCGGGUUGUAAACCGCUUUCGCCUGUGACGAAGCGUGAGUGACGGUAAUGGGUAAAGAAGCACCGGCUAACUACGUG
This 468-nucleotide ribosomal RNA is filed under the name uncultured bacterium. RNAcentral's name for it is "partial 16S ribosomal RNA". It matches the Rfam family "Bacterial small subunit ribosomal RNA", at positions 28 to 507 of the family's 1533-position model. The record is from RNAcentral.